UAAAAAACAACGAGUCAGCUUGAAUGCUAGUGUGGCGCGCGCCAUGCGACACUGUUAAAUUGCGGGGACCCCCUGAAGCUUUGUCCUACCAAGUGCUUGUGCGCGAAAGCGCCAGCAUGGCCGAGCCAAUCGCCCUGGGUAUGGUAACAACGGACAAGGAUGUUAUAUAUGGGUGAUCCGCAGCCAAGUCCUACGUCGAAUCGCGCAUGUUCGAUAUGGAACGGGUUCACAGACUAGAUAGCAGUGGGUGGCACACACACGUGUGUCGCUUAAGAUAUAGUCGGUCUCGUGCCGAAACGCACGGGGAGGUGAUCGACGCUCUUGCGUGUCGCUGUAUUCGACAACUGCAAGUGUGCGUCACAUGCACAUAUACGUUCCGUAGGUGAACCUGCGGAAGGAUCAUUAACACAGUGGGCGGCCCUAGCGCUGCAUCCCAUAUCCAACCCCAUGUGAACCGGUGACGUGCGGCGACUCCAGCUGCGUGUUUCAUUUUCGAACCAUCCUAGCCGAAACACAACUAAAGUUCCAUACAUACAUACAUGUUACAACUCUUAGCAAUGGAUAUCUUGGUUCUCACAACGAUGAAGAACGCAGCGAACUGCGAUACGUAGUGCGAAUUGCAGAAUUCAGUGAAUCAUCAAAUCUUUGAACGCAAGUUGCGCUUCCGAGAUACCCUUGGAAGCAUGCCUCUUUGAGUGUCGGUUUCUGUUUGUUUGCGCGCCCGCGCGCGCAAGACAAUGAGCUUUGCUGCGGCAUAGCUUGAACGAAGCGACCCGGGAUCGUGCGCGCAUUGUUGAUACCCUCGAGAAUGCCGGAGCGGUCCCCGCCGAUCUGCGCGCAAUCGCAGAUCGACACACACACAUCAAAGAUCUCAAAUGAGGUAGGAUUACCCGCU
Molecule: small RNA, 895 nt
Filed under: Plasmodiophora brassicae
Lineage: Eukaryota; Endomyxa; Phytomyxea; Plasmodiophorida; Plasmodiophoridae
Description: eukaryotic LSU rRNA
Rfam family: 5.8S ribosomal RNA (bases 547-701)
Source: RNAcentral